GACGAACGCUGGCGGCAUGCCUAAUACAUGCAAGUCGAGCGAACAGAUGAAGUGCUUGCACUUCUGACGUUAGCGGCGAACGGGUGAGUAACACGUAAGGAAUCUACCUAUAAGCGGGGGAUAACAUUCGGAAACGGGUGCUAUACCGCAUAAUAUCUUCUUCCGCAUGGAAGAAGAUUGAAAGACGGCUCUGCUGUCACUUAUAGAUGACCUUGCGGUGCAUUAGUUAGUUGGUGGGGUAACGGCCUACCAAGACGAUGAUGCAUAGCCGACCUGAGAGGGUGAUCGGCCACAUUGGGACUGAGAAACGGCCCAAACUGCUACGGGAGGCAGCAGUAGGGAAUCUUCCGCAAUGGGCGAAAGCCUGACGGAGCAAUGCCGCGUGAGUGAAGAAGGCCUUCGGGUCGUAAAACUCUGUUAUAAGAGAAGAACAAAUUGUAGAGUAACUGCUACAGUCUUGACGGUAUCUUAUCAGAAAGCCACGGCUAACUACGUGCCAGCCGCCGCAGUAA
Molecule: ribosomal RNA, 512 nt
Filed under: uncultured bacterium
Lineage: Bacteria
Description: partial 16S ribosomal RNA
Rfam family: Bacterial small subunit ribosomal RNA
Source: RNAcentral